Molecule: ribosomal RNA, 433 nt
Filed under: uncultured bacterium
Lineage: Bacteria
Description: partial 16S ribosomal RNA
Rfam family: Bacterial small subunit ribosomal RNA
Source: RNAcentral
AGCGAACGCUGGCGGCAGGCCUAACACAUGCAAGUCGAACGAACCUUUCGGGGUUAGUGGCGACGGGUGAGUAACACGUGGGAACGUGCCUUUAGGUUCGGAAUAACUCAGGGAAACUUGUGCUAAUACCGAAUGUGCCCUUCGGGGGAAAGAUUUAUCGCCUUUAGAGCGGCCCGCGUCUGAUUAGCUAGUUGGUUGAGGUAAUGGCUCACCAAGGCGACGAUCAGUAGCUGGUCUGAGAGGAUGAUCAGCCACAUUGGGACUGAGACACGGCCCAAACUCCUACGGGAGGCAGCAGUGGGGAAUCUUGCGCAAUGGGCGAAAGCCUGACGCAGCCAUGCCGCGUGAAUGAUGAAGGUCUUAGGAUUGUAAAAUUCUUUCACCGGGGACGAUAAUGACGGUACCCGGAGAAGAAGCCCCGGCUAACUUCGUG